Small nuclear RNA from Marmota marmota marmota (Alpine marmot), 107 nucleotides. Lineage: Eukaryota; Metazoa; Chordata; Mammalia; Rodentia; Sciuridae. The record is from Ensembl.
AUGCUCUCUUUGACAGCACAUAUACUAAAAUUGGAACAAUACAGAGAAAAUUAGCAUGGCCCCUGAACAAGGAUGGCAUGCAAAUUCAUGAAGCAGUCCAUAUUUUU